CGCUGGCGGCGUGCCUAACACAUGCAAGUCGAACGGGGUGAGAUCCUUCAGGGUUUCACUUAGUGGCGAACGGGUGAGUAACGCGUGAGGAACCUGCCUUUCAGUGGGGGACAACAGUUGGAAACGACUGCUAAUACCGCAUAAUGCUAUCGGACCGCAUGAUCUGAUAGCCAAAGAUUUAUUGCUGAAAGAUGGCCUCGCGUCUGAUUAGCUAGUUGGUGGGGUAACGGCCCACCAAGGCGACGAUCAGUAGCCGGUCUGAGAGGAUGAACGGCCACAUUGGGACUGAGAUACGGCCCAGACUCCUACGGGAGGCAGCAGUGGGGAAUAUUGGGCAAUGGGGGAAACCCUGACCCAGCAACGCCGCGUGAAGGAAGAAGGCCUUCGGGUUGUAAACUUCUUUUACCAGGGACGAAGAAAGUGACGGUACCUGGAGAAAAAGCAACGGCUAACUACGUG
Molecule: ribosomal RNA, 459 nt
Filed under: uncultured bacterium
Lineage: Bacteria
Description: bacterial SSU rRNA
Rfam family: Bacterial small subunit ribosomal RNA
Source: RNAcentral